RNAcentral lists this microRNA precursor (126 nucleotides) under Myotis brandtii (Brandt's bat). RNAcentral describes it as "mir-9193 microRNA precursor family". It matches the Rfam family "mir-9193 microRNA precursor family". Lineage: Eukaryota; Metazoa; Chordata; Mammalia; Chiroptera; Vespertilionidae. The record is from Rfam by way of RNAcentral.
CGUGCACCAGUGGGGUCCCUCAGCCUGGCCUGCACCCUCUUGCAAUCAAGGACCCCUCAGGGGAUGUUGGAGAGCCGGUUUCAGUCCCAUCCUGCAGGCCAGGCUGAAGGACCCCACUGGUGCACA